This 324-nucleotide ribosomal RNA is filed under the name uncultured bacterium. Its description in RNAcentral is "bacterial SSU rRNA". It matches the Rfam family "Bacterial small subunit ribosomal RNA", at positions 28 to 334 of the family's 1533-position model. The record is from RNAcentral.
GAUGAACGCUGGCGGCGUGCUUAACACAUGCAAGUCGAACGAAGCACUUUUACAGAUUUCUUCGGAAUGAAGUUUUUGUGACUGAGUGGCGGACGGGUGAGUAACGCGUGGGUAACCUGCCUCACACAGGGGGAUAACAGUUGGAAACGGCUGCUAAUACCGCAUAAGCGCACAGUACCGCAUGGUACAGUGUGAAAAACUCCGGUGGUGUGAGAUGGACCCGCGUCUGAUUAGCUAGUUGGCAGGGUAACGGCCUACCAAGGCGACGAUCAGUAGCCGACCUGAGAGGGUGAUCGGCCACAUUGGGACUGAGACACGGCCCAA